This 428-nucleotide ribosomal RNA is filed under the name uncultured Bacteroidota bacterium. Its description in RNAcentral is "bacterial SSU rRNA". It matches the Rfam family "Bacterial small subunit ribosomal RNA", at positions 545 to 975 of the family's 1533-position model. Lineage: Bacteria; Pseudomonadati; Bacteroidota. The record is from RNAcentral.
CCGGAUUUAUUGGGUUUAAAGGGUGCGCAGGCGGGAGAUUAAGUCGGCGGUGAAAUUUUGCAGCUCAACUGUAAAAGUGCCUUCGAUACUGGUUUCCUUGAGUGUGGAUGAAGUAGGCGGAAUUUGUGGUGUAGCGGUGAAAUGCUUAGAUAUCACGAGGAACUCCGAUUGCGCAGGCAGCUUACUAAACCACUACUGACGCUCAGGCACGAAGGCGUGGGGAUCAAACAGGAUUAGAUACCCUGGUAGUCCACGCAGUAAACGAUGAUUACUGGCUGUUUGUGAUACAAUGUAAGCGGCUGAGCGAAAGCGUUAAGUAAUCCACCUGGGGAGUACGUUCGCAAGAAUGAAACUCAAAGGAAUUGACGGGGGCCCGCACAAGCGGAGGAACAUGUGGUUUAAUUCGAUGAUACGCGAGGAACCUUACC